This 253-nucleotide ribosomal RNA is filed under the name uncultured bacterium. RNAcentral's name for it is "partial 16S ribosomal RNA". It matches the Rfam family "Bacterial small subunit ribosomal RNA", at positions 524 to 776 of the family's 1533-position model. The record is from RNAcentral.
UACGGGGGGUGCGAGCGUUGUCCGGAAUCACUGGGCGUAAAGGGCGCGUAGGUGGUUUGAUAAGGGUGUGGUGAAAGUCCGGGGCUCAACCCCGGAUCUGCCGUGCCGACUGUCAAACUCGAGGGCUGUAGAGGCAGACGGAAUUCCGGGUGUAGCGGUGGAAUGCGUAGAGAUCCGGAGGAAGACCGGUGGCGAAGGCGGUCUGCUGGGCAGUUUCUGACACUGAUGCGCGACAGCGUGGGGAGCAAACCGG